CUUCUGUCUUGCAAGGACACACACAGAAGGUUCCAUCUAUGAGGAAUGGACCCUUUCCAGACACUGAAUCUGCUGAUGUCUUAAUCUUGGACUUCUCAGGCUUCAGAACUGGAAAGAGCCACGACAAAGUAGAGGAUGAAAAUGUCCAAGAGAAGGGGAUAAUUGAUGAAGGACAAAAGAAUUCCACGGGAAACGGCAACUACAGAUGGAAGAGUGAAGAUCUGAUUAAGGAAGGGCUGAAAUUGUGUCUGGUUUUGCUCAUCAUCUUAUAGCAUAUAGCAGGAGUUCAAUAAACAAUUGUUAAAAAAAAAUAAAAAAAUUUAAAAAAGGAAGCAAGUCUUCUUGGAAGAAUGGCUGACUCGAAGGCUGGGGCAGA
Piliocolobus tephrosceles (Ugandan red Colobus) is the source of this 376-nucleotide long non-coding RNA. RefSeq lists it as uncharacterized. NCBI's taxonomy places the organism in Eukaryota, Metazoa, Chordata, Mammalia, Primates, Cercopithecidae. The transcript is spliced from 3 exons. The record is from RefSeq and is a predicted model, not a curated record.